AACGUUCACUGGUUCGGAUUAUUGGGCGUAAGAGCUCGUAGGCGGUUUGUCGCGUCUGCCGUGAAAGUCCGAGGCUCAACCUCGGAUCUGCGGUGGGUACGGGCAGACUAGAGUGAUGUAGGGGAGACUGGAAUUCCUGGUGUAGCGGUGAAAUGCGCAGAUAUCAGGAGGAACACCGAUGGCGAAGGCAGGUCUCUGGGCAUUAACUGACGCUGAGGAGCGAAAGCAUGGGGAGCGAACAGGAUUAGAUACCCUGGUAGUCCAUGCCGUAAACGUUGGGCACUAGGUGUGGGGGACAUUCCACGUUUUCCGCGCCGUAGCUAACGCAUUAAGUGCCCCGCCUGGGGAGUACGGCCGCAAGGCUAAAACUCAAAGGAAUUGACGGGGGCCCGCACAAGCGGCGGAGCAUGCGGAUUAAUUCGAUGCAACGCGAAGAACCUUACCAAGGCUUGACAUGUGCCAGACCGCCGUGGAAACACGGUUUCCCCUUUGGGGCUGGUUCACAGGUGGUGCAUGGUUGUCGUCAGCUCGUGUCGUGAGAUGUUGGGUUAAGUCCCGCAACGAGCGCAACCCUCGUUCUAUGUUGCCAGCACGUGAUGGUGGGGACUCAUAGGAGACUGCCGGGGUCAACUCGGAGGAAGGUGGGGACGACGUCAAAUCAUCAUGCCCCUUAUGUCUUGGGCUUCACGCAUGCUACAAUGGCCGGUACAAUGGGUUGCGAUACUGUGAGGUGGAGCUAAUCCCAAAAAGCCGGUCUCAGUUCGGAUUGGGGUCUGCAACUCGACCCCAUGAAGUCGGAGUCGCUAGUAAUCGCAGAUCAGCAACGCUGCGGUGAAUACGUUCCCGGGCCUUGUACACACCGCCCGUCAAGUCACGAAAGUUGGUAACACCCGAAGCCGGUGGCCUAACCCCUUGUGGGAGGGAGCCGUCGAAGGUGGGACCGGCGAUUGGGACUAAGUCGUACACAAGGUUAAGCCACCC
RNAcentral lists this ribosomal RNA (981 nucleotides) under Arthrobacter sp. RNAcentral's name for it is "bacterial SSU rRNA". It matches the Rfam family "Bacterial small subunit ribosomal RNA", at positions 533 to 1507 of the family's 1533-position model. Lineage: Bacteria; Bacillati; Actinomycetota; Actinomycetes; Micrococcales; Micrococcaceae. The record is from RNAcentral.